GCCUGGCUAGCUCAGUUGGUAGCUGUAAGACUUUUAAUUUUAGGCUCAUGGGUUCAAGCCCCAUGCUGGGUG
Molecule: transfer RNA, 72 nt
Filed under: Pelodiscus sinensis (Chinese soft-shelled turtle)
Lineage: Eukaryota; Metazoa; Chordata; Testudines; Trionychidae
Rfam family: tRNA
About the family: Transfer RNA (tRNA) molecules are approximately 80 nucleotides in length.
Source: Rfam by way of RNAcentral